UCAAGAUGGCCGCUUUCGCAUAUCUCUGAAUGUAGGAUCCCUAGUGCGGGGCUCGCGUAUACUUCGUUUUCGGAAACUAAGGCCUGGUUAUUGUUAUUCUGCCAUUUCUCCUACAAAUACGCUAUUCAGCAGGAUGUGCUGAGUCCCAAUUGGCUAUCGCAGAAACAACGAGUAGCAGCAGCGAUUUCUCCACUACCGGUUGAGAGGAUUAUGGAGAUUCAGCUGCGCAGGAAGCAGGACAAAGUCCGAAGGAUGGAGACCAAAUUGAGACUGGCGCAAGAGGUACACGAGCGGUAUGAACAUCAAACGCAGACUACGGCCUACUUCAACGAUAGUUCGAGUUCGAGUACGGCUGCCACGAUGAAAACAACAAAUGGAAGGUUUACGUGGCGCCAAGAAACGAUAUUUCAGGUGACAUCCCAAGCAACCAGAAGUUCGGAUAAGAAGGGCUAUUUUGGCUUAAUCAGCUCUCAUUUUAAGUAUUUUUUGUAUGUAACGGAACUUUAAGUGAACUUUAAAGUUUCGUUAAGGAUGCUUGGAACUUGAUGUGAACCAUAGUGAACCAAUUAGUUCGGUUAAGAGUAAAUUUAAGUAAAAUCUGAACUUCUGGUUGCUUGGGAUGGUGGUUUGGUCGUUUCGAGUAAUAUAGAUCCGUUGAUCAGUCAGUGGAACUGAAGGGCUUCAGAUAUCAGCGACGAGAGCUAAACAUUGCUGAACGCCGUCUACAACGUACUCUCUCAAAUUUUAUGCCUUCGACUAAUACCUAUUGCAAGAGAGUUCGUGGGGCAGCAUCAGGCGGGAUUAUGGGCGGACCAGACCAGGUGUUCACCGUACGCCAGAUAUCGCAGAAAUGCCUUGAAUACAAUGUACAUCAUCUAUUCAUCGACUUCAAAGCCGCUAACAAGAUGACCGCAAGAUGAUGGUCUUUCGUGCCUGCUAUUCAACAACGCUUUGGAGGGAGUCAUACGAAGAUCAGGCAUUGACACGAGUGGUUCGAUUUUCACGAAGCCCAUUCAGUUAUUUGGUUUCGCCGACGACAUUGAUGUUAUGGCAUGUAACUUUGAGAAGCCUACAUCAGACAUGAUAGGAAGAGGUUCAAGAGAAGACAAUAAGCCACCCACCACGAGUUUGUUCCGGUGGCGACGAAAAUGAGAUGGUAGAAGAAUGAUCGAGUAGAGUUCGCCGGCGUACCGAACUUUUUUUACUAUCUACAAAACGCUUAUUUGACCUAUAUGGCCAGAGAAGGGAACCCCCUCACGAAGAAUAACAAAUACUAGAGUUCCCUCUCUACACCACGGCAGGCUACUGACUGAUACUUCUGCCAGCAGCUGCAGUUCUCUUUAUUCAACAAUAGGUAUAUACAAUAAUCCAUAACAAAUUUCCUUAAUCUAUACCAAAGAGCAACUACAACUAACCGGCGCCCGCUUCUUAUCCAUCUUCGAUCUACAGCGAAGCGUCGCACACUACCUGAUAUUCCAACACUAUAGUCCUCACAAGAUCUGGACGAUGCUUGGAGUUUUCGAAAAGAAAAUGUUGCAUACCAUCUACCGUGGGGUCCAGAUGGCGGGCGGAACGUGACGGAGGAGAAUGAACCACGAGUUACAUCAGCGAGCAAGGUAGAACGAUCAGGCUCUCACUCUCAUCGAAGCACACUAUAGCCAUUUACGAACCUCCUUUUAUUGUGCAAGCAUAAAAUGUAUAUAUGGUCGGUGAUAGGCCAAACCACACUAAACACCUAUUGCGUUGAGGAACAUGCGACACUUUUAUGAUUAAUAAAGGAU
Long non-coding RNA from Armigeres subalbatus, 1781 nucleotides. RefSeq lists it as uncharacterized. NCBI's taxonomy places the organism in Eukaryota, Metazoa, Arthropoda, Insecta, Diptera, Culicidae. The transcript has 3 exons. The record is from RefSeq and is a predicted model, not a curated record.